RNAcentral lists this transfer RNA (90 nucleotides) under Alphaproteobacteria bacterium. RNAcentral's name for it is "tRNA-Ser". It matches the Rfam family "tRNA". Rfam says of the family: Transfer RNA (tRNA) molecules are approximately 80 nucleotides in length. RNAcentral also lists the same sequence under 1 other name. The record is from RNAcentral. Lineage: Bacteria; Pseudomonadati; Pseudomonadota; Alphaproteobacteria.
GGACGGGUGACAGAGUGGUUGAUUGUGCUGGUCUCGAAAACCAGUGUACGUGCAAGCGUACCGAGGGUUCGAAUCCCUCUCCGUCCGCCA